UGGGGAAUUUUGGACAAUGGGGGCAACCCUGAUCCAGCAAUGCCGCGUGUGUGAAGAAGGCCUUCGGGUUGUAAAGCACUUUUGUCCGGAAAGAAAACGUCGUGGUUAAUACCCGUGGCGGCUGACGGUACCGGAAGAAUAAGCACCGGCUAACUACGUGCCAGCAGCCGCGGUAAUACGUAGGGUGCAAGCGUUAAUCGGAAUUACUGGGCGUAAAGCGUGCGCAGGCGGUCCGCUAAGACAGAUGUGAAAUCCCCGGGCUUAACCUGGGAACUGCAUUUGUGACUGGCGGGCUAGAGUAUGGCAGAGGGGGGUAGAAUUCCACGUGUAGCAGUGAAAUGCGUAGAGAUGUGGAGGAAUACCGAUGGCGAAGGCAGCCCCCUGGGCCAAUACUGACGCUCAUGCACGAAAGCGUGGGGAGCAAACAGGAUUAGAUACCCUGGUAGUCCACGCCCUAAACGAUGUCAACUAGUUGUCGGGUCUUCAUUGACUUGGUAACGUAACUAACGCGUGAAGUUGACCGCCUGGGGAGUACGGUCGCAAGA
This 545-nucleotide ribosomal RNA is filed under the name uncultured bacterium. RNAcentral's name for it is "partial 16S ribosomal RNA". It matches the Rfam family "Bacterial small subunit ribosomal RNA", at positions 355 to 893 of the family's 1533-position model. The record is from RNAcentral.